UACGGUAGGGUGCAAGCGUUAUCCGGAAUUAUUGGGCGUAAAGAGCUCGGUAGGCGGUUUGUCGCGUCUGACUGUGAAAACCGGAGGCUCAACCUCCGGCCUGCAGUGGGUACGGGCAAACUAGAGUGCGGUAGGGGAGAUUGGAAUUCCUGGUGUAGGCGGUGGAAUGCGCAGAUAUCAGGAGGAACACCGAUGGCGAAGGCAGAUCUCUGGGCCGUAACUGACGCUGAGGAGCGAAAGCGUGGGAGCGAACAGG
This 256-nucleotide ribosomal RNA is filed under the name uncultured bacterium. RNAcentral describes it as "partial 16S ribosomal RNA". It matches the Rfam family "Bacterial small subunit ribosomal RNA", at positions 524 to 776 of the family's 1533-position model. The record is from RNAcentral.